RNAcentral lists this transfer RNA (87 nucleotides) under Crocinitomix sp. RNAcentral's name for it is "tRNA-Ser". It matches the Rfam family "Selenocysteine transfer RNA". RNAcentral also lists the same sequence under 1 other name. Lineage: Bacteria; Pseudomonadati; Bacteroidota; Flavobacteriia; Flavobacteriales; Crocinitomicaceae. The record is from RNAcentral.
GGAAGGGCAAGCCAAUUGGCGGUGGCCACAGUCUUGAAAACUGUUCGGAGCUAAUGACUCGUGUGGGUUCGACUCCCACCCCUUCCG